CGAGGGCCGUGCAAGGAGAAGCUGCUCGGCUAGAUCCAUCGCCAGCGACACCGAGCUGCUUGAGCGCAUCCUCGGCCGCUGUGGCCGUGUACGGUGUUGGAGGAGCUCGACUCGUCGCUAGACGUGUACGGUGUUUUGGAAAUUUCGGGUGGUAUGUCCUUAUUCCUCUGUGCUUUUUCGUGAUGCCGCUCACAAUUCCGC
Molecule: long non-coding RNA, 201 nt
Filed under: Brachypodium distachyon (stiff brome)
Lineage: Eukaryota; Viridiplantae; Streptophyta; Magnoliopsida; Poales; Poaceae
Description: long non-coding RNA (BDIS_LNC000511)
Source: RNAcentral